Molecule: ribosomal RNA, 858 nt
Filed under: uncultured Staphylococcus sp.
Lineage: Bacteria; Bacillati; Bacillota; Bacilli; Caryophanales; Staphylococcaceae
Description: bacterial SSU rRNA
Rfam family: Bacterial small subunit ribosomal RNA
Source: RNAcentral
CUUAACAUGCAAUUCGACGACAGCGGGACUGCUCCCGACGUACGCGGACGGGUUGAGUUACACGUGGGUAAUCUACCUAUAAGACCUGGAUAACUCCCGGGGAAACCCGGGGCUUAAUGCCNGGAUAAACAUGUUGGACCGCAUGGUCCUACAGUGAAAGACGGUCUUUCUGUCACUUAUAGAUGGACCCGCGCCGUAUUAGCUANUUGGUAAGGUAACGGCUUACCAAGGCAACGAUACGUAGCCGACCUGAGAGGGUGAUCGGCCACACUGGAACUGAGACACGGUCCAGACUCCUACGGGAGGCAGCAGUAGGGAAUCUUCCGCAAUGGGCGAAAGCCUGACGGAGCAACGCCGCGUGAGUGAUGAAGGCCUUCGGGUCGUAAAACUCUGUUAUUAGGGAAGAACAAAUGUGUAAGUAACUAUGCACGUCUUGACGGUACCUAAUCAGAAAGCCACGGCUAACUACAUGCCAGCAGCCGCGGUAAUACGUAGGUGGCAAGCGUUAUCCGGAAUUAUUGGGCGUAAAGCGCGCGUAGGCGGUUUCUUAAGUCUGAUGUGAAAGCCCACGGCUCAACCGUGGAGGGUCAUUGGAAACUGGGAAACUUGAGUGCAGGAGAGGAAAGUGGAAUUCCAUGUGUAGAGGUGAAAUUCGUAGAUAUUUGUAGGAAUGCCGAUGGGGAAGCCAGCCUACUGGACAGAUACUGACGCUAAAGCGCGAAAGCGUGGGUGGCAAACAGGAUUAGAUACCCUGGUAGUCCACGCCGUAAACGAUGAUUACUAGGUGUUGGGGGUCGAACCUCAGCGCCCAAGCUAACGCGAUAAGUAAUCCGCCUGGGGAGUACGUACGCAAGUAUG